AGCAAUCGAACAAAUUUUCUUUUUAGGGAAAUAUAUGUUUACAUGUACAAAAUAUUACACUUUUAUUACAGUCAGGAAGAAAAAUUGAGUUUAAGUUUGUACUUUUUGCAGCUACCGCCGUUGAAACUCAUUUGUUACUCUCGGGAUUUUUAUAUAUUAUAUUUUACAGAAAUCUGGUGUAAAACAAUGGCUUUGACAGCAGCAGUGCUUAUAUUAUUAUUUUGUCAGCUUGGUGUCUCCUCACAGACAUGUAAAGAAUGUGAAUGUUGCGAAGAAGGCAAAUGUGGUAGAAAAAAAGUACUGUAUCUACGGUUGUCUAGCAGGAUAUUGGGGUGAUAACUGUACAAAUUCAUGUCCAAAGAACUGUAAAACAUGCACAAAUGGCACACAAUGCAACGAAUGCCAGACUGGGUUUUGGGGAACACAGUGUACAUCAAAAUGUGGGAAUGGUUGUGUUAACAACACGUGUUCACUGUUAGGGCAAUGCUCUUGUAAGUCACAAGCGUUUGCA
Long non-coding RNA from Mercenaria mercenaria, 511 nucleotides. RefSeq lists it as uncharacterized. The record is from RefSeq and is a predicted model, not a curated record. NCBI's taxonomy places the organism in Eukaryota, Metazoa, Mollusca, Bivalvia, Venerida, Veneridae. The transcript is spliced from 3 exons.